GACUCCCGCGAUACCCCGGAUUUGCUUGCGGACCGAUAGAAUUUUAGAAUGGGUUGGGUGAGGACUGACGCUGGUGUUUCGAGGGUUGGCCUCCGAGAUGCUUCGUCUCCUCCACCUCCUUUCCUUUGGGUCCCCUCAUCAAUUCCAGUCCACUAGCACAGCUCGUCUUGUCCCAUCGGCCGCUUGCAGGUUUCACCUGCUUUGCCAAGAAGACUCUGCGCCUGCUCAUCGCCUUCUUCUUCCCCGUCGUCUUCCAGCCAAGACAAGAUUCGAGCCGUCCGUGGUGACCGAUCGUCAGUCCAGAGACGCCGCCGGGAACGGAACACCGUCGCGACGCCGCCAGAUUAAAUCGCCGCCUCCAGACUAGCAUUCAACAUGCCGAACAGCAGCGGCGUGACCGUGUUCGACGACCUGCCCGAGUGGCUUGUCGUUGACGAGAUCCUUGUCCGGCUGCCGGCCAAGGAUGUACUUCGGUAGCGUGCCGUCCGCCAGUCGUGGCGCAGCGGCACUUCCACCAACGCGUUCAUCCUCAACCACCACCACCGCCAGCCCUCGCUCCCCAUCAUCAAAAACAUAGAGGGCAUCUACCGCCAUGCCGGAUCCCCUAGUGAUCAAAAGAUACAGCGUGUCCUCCGGAACGCAGAUCCCUUUAAAAACGAGAUGACUCUAUGUCAUGCCGCUUGUGAUGGCUUCCUCAUCCUGGAGAAGCAAUCCAAUUUCUACAUCUGCAACCCUACCACCCGCAAGUGUGCUUCCCUGCCACAUCCUCCACGACGGCCAGGCUUCAGCGCCUUCGGCGUAGUCGGCUUCUACUGGCUCCACACAUCUGGAGAACACCGGGUUCUCUGGGCGUCAUACUUGAACCAAAUGCCGUACUUGGUACUCAUUGGGGCUGCCGUCCCAACUGAGUUGCCUGAUUACUUCGUACUCACAGUUGGAUCGGACCAGCCAAGAUGCAUCCAAUGGCUGACAAUUUGAAAAUAUGGGUUUCCUACCCUGUCCUUCAAUACUCCACCAGUCCACAAUCGUGCUCGCCUGCACUGGGCAACAUGGGCAACAGGCCUCAACAUAACGGUAUUUGACACCGUAGCCGAGACAUUCUGGCAGAUGAGCCGCCCAGCACAGUUGGGUGAUAAGGUGACAUUGUUGGAUAUGUGCGGCUCCCUUGCCUUGUGCUGCACCACCAAUGACUGUGUCAAUUUAGAUGUUUGGGUGUUGCAGGACUAUGAUGCUGAAACCUGGGGCUUUCAGUACCGGUUUAACUUGUCAGCAAUGGAGGCAUUGCCACCAUUUAAGUUUGACCUCAAUGCUCUCCCUAGGAUGGCUGUGAUCAAUGAGCGUGAGCUGUUGAUCGAGCAGUGUGUUGGCCGUCUGUUGCAUUGUGACAUUGAUGGUGUGUUUUUAGGAUAUGUGCGAGCCAAGGAGCCUGGGAACCACUUUAUGCUAACUAUGCAGCGCCUCCAAGAGAGCAUGAUUUCAGUCCCAUUGUUUGAGGCGCAGGAAGAAGAUGCUGUGAACAAGGAGUCUCCAUUCGUCAUGGUGCUAUAAGAUGCCAGGCUCCAUCUUAAUGAUUUCGACUAGCUGUUUGUUGUGCCCUUGGGAGUAUCUAUCCUGUAUGAACCUUGCUUUCUGUUCUGUCUUCUUACUUUUUAGUACUAGUAGAACCGAACACUUUGUAUGUCUGAAGUAGCGCCUCAUCACUUGGUGCUUGUUAUGCUAUCUUGAGCAUCAUGUUGAUGUUGUAAAAAAUUGUGUGUCUAUGCUAUUGCUAUGUAGAACUGCUAUAAUGUUCAUGUUCACCCCUGUUGACUUUCA
Long non-coding RNA from Triticum aestivum (bread wheat), 1815 nucleotides. RefSeq lists it as uncharacterized. The transcript is spliced from 3 exons. The record is from RefSeq and is a predicted model, not a curated record. NCBI's taxonomy places the organism in Eukaryota, Viridiplantae, Streptophyta, Magnoliopsida, Poales, Poaceae.